AUUGAACGCUGGCGGCAGGCCUAACACAUGCAAGUCGAACGAGUGGCGGACGGGUGAGUAAUGUAUGGGGAACUGCCCGAUGGAGGGGGAUAACUACUGGAAACGGUGGCUAAUACCGCAUACUAUCGGAUGAACCCAGAUGGGAGUAGCUAGUAGGUGGGGUAAAGGCUCACCUAGGCGACGAUCCCUAGCUGGUCUGAGAGGAUGACCAGCCACACUGGGACUGAGAAACGGCCCAGACUCCUACGGGAGGCAGCAGUGGGGAAUAUUGCACAAUGGGCGCAAGCCUGAUGCAGCCAUGCCGCGUGUAUGAAGAAGGCCUUAGGGUUGUAAAGUACUUUCAGCGGGGAGGCGUUACCCGCAGAAGAAGCACCGGCUAACUCCGUGCCAGCAGCCGCGGUAAUUC
RNAcentral lists this ribosomal RNA (406 nucleotides) under uncultured bacterium. RNAcentral's name for it is "partial 16S ribosomal RNA". It matches the Rfam family "Bacterial small subunit ribosomal RNA", at positions 30 to 526 of the family's 1533-position model. The record is from RNAcentral.